This 273-nucleotide ribosomal RNA is filed under the name Gammarus cf. fossarum GcfFOS1. Its description in RNAcentral is "partial 16S ribosomal RNA". The record is from RNAcentral. Lineage: Eukaryota; Metazoa; Arthropoda; Malacostraca; Amphipoda; Gammaridae.
GCUAAGGUAGCAUAAUCAAUUGUUUUUUAAUUGGAGGCUGGAAUGAAAGGUUAAACAGAUUAAGGUGGUUUGUGAGGUUUAGCUAAUAAGUUAAAGUCAAGGUAAGAAUUCUUUGAUUUUCUAGGGGACGAUAAGACCCUAGAAGCUUUAAAAAAAAAAUUUUUUUAGUCAGCAGAUAAAUUUUUUACUGGGGCGGUGUUAGUGCUUUAACUACUAAUAGUAAAGGUUGGUCCUUAAUAUAAAGAUAAUUCGGUGGAGUUACUCUAGGGGUAA